This 437-nucleotide ribosomal RNA is filed under the name uncultured bacterium. RNAcentral describes it as "bacterial SSU rRNA". It matches the Rfam family "Bacterial small subunit ribosomal RNA", at positions 69 to 516 of the family's 1533-position model. The record is from RNAcentral.
AGAACGGAUUAUAGCUUGCUAUAAUUGUCAGCUAAGUGGCGCACGGGUGAGUAAUGUAUAGAUAACCUGCCCUUAAGAAAGGAAUAACAGUUGGAAACGACUGCUAAUGCCCUAUAUGCCUUUAAUACAUAAGUAUGCAAGGGAAACGCUUUAGUGCUUAAGGAUGGGUCUGUAUGGUAUCAGCUUGUUGGUGAGGUAAUGGCUCACCAAGGCUAUGACGCCUAACUGGUUUGAGAGGAUGAUCAGUCACACUGGAACUGAGACACGGUCCAGACUCCUACGGGAGGCAGCAGUGGGGAAUAUUGCACAAUGGACGAAAGUCUGAUGCAGCAACGCCGCGUGGAGGAUGACACAUUUCGGUGCGUAAACUCCUUUUAUAUAGGAAGAUAAUGACGGUACUAUAUGAAUAAGCACCGGCUAACUCCGUGCCAGCAGCC